Pogona vitticeps (central bearded dragon) is the source of this 372-nucleotide non-coding RNA. Lineage: Eukaryota; Metazoa; Chordata; Lepidosauria; Squamata; Agamidae. The record is from the annotation of a RefSeq genome assembly.
AUGGCCGAAGUCACUGUUUCACUAACCAGUGCUUUAUCCUCCACCUUAGGUGUCCACGCCAGUGUUCAGCUUGUGGAAUCCGGACCAGGAACACUGAAGCCUGGGCAAACGCUCAGACUCUCCUGUGCAGUCACUGGGGAUUCUGUGGAGAACAGCUACUGGCAUUGGGUCCGCCAAGCUCCUGGAAAGGGACUGGAAUGGGUGGGACGGAUAGACUGGAGUGGUAGCACAUGGCGUAUAUUCUACACAUCAUCUCUCCAAAGCCGAGCCACCCUCUCUGCCGAUUCCUCCAAGAACGAGUAUUAUCUUGAGCUGAGGUCCCUGACAGCUGCCGACACUGGCGUGUAUUACUGUGCCCGAGAAUCACAGUGA